RNAcentral lists this unclassified non-coding RNA (382 nucleotides) under Hevea brasiliensis (rubber tree). The record is from RNAcentral. Lineage: Eukaryota; Viridiplantae; Streptophyta; Magnoliopsida; Malpighiales; Euphorbiaceae.
UUUUUUUUUUUUUUUUCAAACAUUAUAUGUUCAGGUGGCUUUGUGGGUCAAAUAAUUUCAAUUGCUUUAGGAUGUAUUUCAAUGAACUAUGUACGAUAUCCACUAUAAGGUUGGAGUUCCGUUAUUCUGGCAAGCCUAAACGUUUUCUAGGUGUUAUUAUAUAUGAAUGACUGGGUUUUAUUUUAAUGUAGAGUUGUAUGCCACAUUAGGAUAACAUCUACAGAAAAUAUGUUGUUGUAACCAUGGAUUUAAAUCGUAGUCACGAUCGCAGCUAACAGAGACAGGCCUACAACAGCCAUAACAUAAUGAUAAUGGCUUAUCGUUAUACAAAUUUUUUUGAUAAAUUGCAAAGUUCAUUAAAUGAAUAGAUAUUUAAAGAUAU